UACGUAGGGUGCAAGCGUUGUCCGGAAUUAUUGGGCGUAAAGAGCUCGUAGGCGGUCUGUCACGUCGGCUGUGAAAACCCGAGGCUCAACCUCGGGCCUGCAGUCGAUACGGGCAAACUAGAGUACUGCAGGGGAGACUGGAAUUCCUGGUGUAGCGGUGAAAUGCGCAGAUAUCAGGAGGAACACCGGUGGCGAAGGCGGGUCUCUGGGCCGAUAUUGACGCUGAGGAGCGAAAGCGUGGGGAGCGAACAGG
Molecule: ribosomal RNA, 253 nt
Filed under: uncultured bacterium
Lineage: Bacteria
Description: partial 16S ribosomal RNA
Rfam family: Bacterial small subunit ribosomal RNA
Source: RNAcentral